GACGAACGCUGGCGGCGUGCUUAACACACGCAAGUCGAACGGAAAGGCCCUGCUUUUGUGGGGUGCUCGAGUGGCGAACGGGUGAGUAACACGUGAGUAACCUGCCCUUGACUUUGGGAUAACUUCAGGAAACUGGGGCUAAUACCGGAUAGGAGCUCCUGCUGCAUGGUGGGGGUUGGAAAGUUUCGGCGGUUGGGGAUGGACUCGCGGCUUAUCAGCUUGUUGGUGGGGUAGUGGCUUACCAAGGCUUUGACGGGUAGCCGGCCUGAGAGGGUGACCGGCCACAUUGGGACUGGGAUACGGCCCAGACUCCUACGGGAGGCAGCAGUGGGGAAUAUUGCACAAUGGGCGGAAGCCUGAUGCAGCAACGCCGCGUGGGGGAUGACGGCCUUCGGGUUGUAAACCGCUUUCGCCUGUGACGAAGCGUGAGUGACGGUAAUGGGUAAAGAAGCACCGGCUAACUACGUG
This 468-nucleotide ribosomal RNA is filed under the name uncultured bacterium. RNAcentral's name for it is "partial 16S ribosomal RNA". It matches the Rfam family "Bacterial small subunit ribosomal RNA", at positions 28 to 507 of the family's 1533-position model. The record is from RNAcentral.